Molecule: ribosomal RNA, 449 nt
Filed under: uncultured bacterium
Lineage: Bacteria
Description: bacterial SSU rRNA
Rfam family: Bacterial small subunit ribosomal RNA
Source: RNAcentral
UGGGGAAUAUUGCGCAAUGGGGGAAACCCUGACGCAGCGACGCCGCGUGUGGGAUGAAGGUCUUCGGAUUGUAAACCACUGUCGCGAGGGACGAAGCUCUGACGGUACCUCGAAAGGAAGCACCGGCUAACUCUGUGCCAGCAGCCGCGGUAAUACAGAGGGUGCGAGCGUUGUCCGGAAUCACUGGGCGUAAAGGGCGCGUAGGCGGCCCGGUAAGUAGGGGGUGAAAUCUCAUGGCUCAACUGUGAGGCUGCCUUCUAGACUGCCAGGCUUGAGCACAGUAGAGGCGAGUGGAAUUCCCGGUGUAGAGGUGAAAUUCGUAGAUAUUAGGAAGAACACCAGUGGCGAAGGCGGCUCACUGGUCCGGUACUGACGCUGAGGUGCGAAAGCGUGGGGAGCAAACAGGAUUAGAUACCCGAGUAGUCCCUGAGCGGGCUGGCAAGGCGCAU